Molecule: ribosomal RNA, 406 nt
Filed under: uncultured bacterium
Lineage: Bacteria
Description: partial 16S ribosomal RNA
Rfam family: Bacterial small subunit ribosomal RNA
Source: RNAcentral
AUUGAACGCUGGCGGCAGGCCUAACACAUGCAAGUCGAACGAGUGGCGGACGGGUGAGUAAUGUCUGGGAAACUGCCCGAUGGAGGGGGAUAACUACUGGAAACGGUAGCUAAUACCGCAUACCAUCGGAUGUGCCCAGAUGGGCUUAGCUGGUAGGGGGGGUAACGGCUCACCUAGGAGACGAUCCCUAGCUGGUCUGAGAGGAUGACAGGCCACACUGGAAAGGAGGAACGGUCCAGACUCCUACGAGAGGCAGAAGUGGGGAAUAUUGCACAAUGGGCGCAAGCCUGAUGCAGCCAUGCCGCGUGUAUGAAGAAGGCCUUCGGGUUGUAAAGUACUUUCAGCGAGGAGGCGUUACUCGCAGAAGAAGCACCGGCUAACUCCGUGCCAGCAGCCGCGGUAAUAC